RNAcentral lists this ribosomal RNA (292 nucleotides) under uncultured bacterium. RNAcentral's name for it is "partial 16S ribosomal RNA". It matches the Rfam family "Bacterial small subunit ribosomal RNA", at positions 505 to 796 of the family's 1533-position model. The record is from RNAcentral.
GUGCCAGCAGCCGCGGUAAUACAGAGGUGGCAAGCGUUGUUCGGAAUUACUGGGCGUAAAGGGCGCGUAGGCGGCCUUGUAAGUCCUGUGUGAAAUCCCCCGGCUCAACUGGGGAACUGCACAGGAGACUGCUUGGCUUGAGUUCGGGAGAGGGAAGCGGAAUUCCGGGUGUAGCGGUGAAAUGCGUAGAUAUCCGGAGGAACACCGGUGGCGAAGGCGGCUUCCUGGACCGACACUGACGCUGAGGCGCGAAAGCCAGGGGAGCAAACGGGAUUAGAUACCCCGGUAGUCC